CUGAGCUGUGUGAUGUUUGCAGGAAGCCGAUUUUUUUUUUCUCAUCGCUGUUCUAAGUAUCGCCCAAUGUAGAAUUAUAGCUAAAGAUAGAACUUAGUCCUGACCUUUGUUUACUUCCACCCCGCGCACGUUUGGAUUCGUAAGAGAACAGUUGCUAAGGAAUACUUGAGCUCCUUUCCAAACUUUCUUUUGUUCGCCCCAGACUUUGGACGAGGGUUGUCGGGAUGAAAGACGGACGAAAUUGAGGGGAAGCGGCAGAAAAUCCUACCUUCCUCUCCAAGUUUCCGGGUACACCGGAGUCGGUUUUCUCAUCGGAGAGGUGAGGAUGCCAAAUCUCAGGGUUUCUACGCCUCGUCCCUUUACAAUAUUUUUGGGGUUGCGGGAUGACUUGGCUCGAUCAAGAAGUUAACCGAAUAAGCACCUACAAUAUGCAGACCGUCAGGUGGCGCAGCAGAGCAAGUGCCGACCCCCGAGUCAGGAAGACUCUUAGUCCUGACGCCAGUUCCUGGGCAAGUCAUUUAAGAGUUGGAAACGACUGAAAAUUUAAUUUUUUCCAGUUCACAUACAAGGAAAUGGAGAAACUCGGAUUUUUUUGUUGAAACCCGUGUGCUGGAUUAUUUCCUGCCCGAUUUAUCUAAUAUAGUAAGACCGAUCAAAUUUUUUUUUUAAGUGUAGAAGCAUAGAGUUGCAAACGAACUCAGAUCAUGUAAUCCAACAUUCUUCCCAAAAGGAAUUUUCACCACUAUAUCGCUUCAGAAUCUUCAUCCAUGCUUAAUUUGAAAAUCUCCUGUGAGAAAAAAUGCCCCACUAUUUAUGGAAGUCCAUUCUAUUUUGGGACGAUUUUAGUUUUUUUUUUGCUUUACAGAGAAUUUAAAUUGUAAAACUUCCCAAGUUAUUUAUCUCCACUGACUUUUACUUCUGCCCCUUUCUACCAAAAAAAAAAAAAAAAAAAAAAAACUCUUAAAUUUUUCUAUUUCAUUUAAUGAUACUUCCCUCGCUUAUAACUGCUAUACUUGGCAGGGAGGGGGGGAUAAAAGGGGAUAUAGUUUAACAGAAUUGUUAGCUACUUCUUCACUACUUAAAACUCUAUAUUUUGGUUUGUCCCCAACAUUCUCUAGAAUACAAAACUUCAGUCAUCAUUUCAGUUCUUUACUACUUUGCAGAGACAAUCACUCCCCAAAUAUUCUUUACUUCCUUAUUUCUCCAACACCAGUCUCCAUAUUCUUGUUUGCAUUUUUUCUCUGCUGGCUCAUUGUCCUGAUCCUUUGAAAUGAGUGAUUUCCAGGAUGUCCCAAAAGUCUGACAGCAGUUUUGGGAUUUGGGGGACACCUUGUAUAAGCUCUCCUUAAGUAAUUCCAUAAAUUCCCAUGCUUUCCAACUACCAUUUUUAUGCAGAUAAUUCUCAGACCCCUUUCUUUCUCCAGAUAGCAUUUUUGUAAAUGAGAAUAUCACACUGCAUGUUAAAUAAAGCUUGAUCAAAAUUAAGCUCAUUUCCCCAAAAUCUGCUCCUUUCAAAUUAAAUGGUUCCAAUAUCUACUCGUUCUCCCAUGUUUGCAAUUUGGGAGUCUUUUUUUUCCUUUCUAUACCUCAAAUCUAAUUAGUUCUAUAUAUAGUAUCUAUAUUUUUGCAACACCUCAUAUCUAUUCCCUCUAUUCUCAUUGCUAUCAUCACUACUAGUACAAAUUCAUUACCAUCCACCUAGGAUGCUUUUAAGUCUAACAAGUUUUCAUACUUUUCCAUGCAAUAUAUCUGAAUACAACUGAUCUGUCAUAUGUAUGGGUUUGGUCAUCUUAUCAGGCUUAUGUCUUUACUUUGAAAGCCCUCUACAAUGAUGCUGCUCAUCUUCUCAGGCUUAUAUUAAAGUCUCAUUGUUCAACAAGUGCAUUCCCAUUGUUUUUGUUUGUUCUUACACCGAGUACCCUCAUUUUCACUUUUAAAAUUAAUUUCAAUGUGUCAUAAAAGCUUUCCCCUUCCUCCCCUGAGAUCUCACAUAGCACAUAAUUCCAGAACUAAAAUGAUCUAGUCCAACCAAUACCUUUCAAAGAAUAUCCUGUG
RNAcentral lists this long non-coding RNA (2055 nucleotides) under Sarcophilus harrisii (Tasmanian devil). RNAcentral describes it as "lncRNA (ENSSHAG00000026653.1)". The record is from RNAcentral. Lineage: Eukaryota; Metazoa; Chordata; Mammalia; Dasyuromorphia; Dasyuridae.